RNAcentral lists this ribosomal RNA (372 nucleotides) under uncultured eukaryote. Its description in RNAcentral is "SSU rRNA". It matches the Rfam family "Eukaryotic small subunit ribosomal RNA", at positions 592 to 965 of the family's 1831-position model. The record is from RNAcentral.
CAAUAGCGUAUAUUAAAGUUGUUGCGGUUAAAAAGCUCGUAGUUGGAUUUCUGCCGAGGACGACCGGUCCGCCCUCUGGGUGAGUAUCUGGUUCGGCCUGGGCAUCUUCUUGGAGAACGUAUCUGCACUUGACUGUGUGGUGCGGUAUCCAGGACUUUUACUUUGAGGAAAUUAGAGUGUUUCAAGCAGGCACACGCCUUGAAUACAUUAGCAUGGAAUAAUAAGAUAGGACCUUGGUUCUAUUUUGUUGGUUUCUAGAGCUGAGGUAAUGAUUAAUAGGGACAGUUGGGGCGAUUCGAUAUUUCAUUGUCAGAGGUGAAAUUCUUGGAUUUAUGAAAGAUUGAACUUCAUGCGAAAGCAUUUGCCAAGGAU